UCGGUUGAUCCUGCCGGANNGACUGCUAUCGGAUUGAUACUAAGCCNUGCGAGUCAUUGUAGUAAUACAAGGCAGACGGCUCAGUAACGCGUAGUCAACCUACCUUAUGGACGGGGAUAACCUCGGGAAACUGAGAAUAAUACCCGAUAGAACAUUAUGCCUGGAAUGGUUUAUGUUUCAAAUAAUUUAUUGCCGUAGGAUGGGACUGCGGCCUAUCAGUUUGUUGGUGAGGUAAUGGCCCACCAAGACUAUUACAGGUACGGGCUCUGAGAGGAGUAGCCCGGAGAUGGGUACUGAGACACGGACCCAGGCCCUAUGGGGCGCAGCAGGCGAGAAAACUUUGCAAUGUGCGAAAGCACGACAAGGUUAAUCCGAGUGGUUUCUGCUAAAGGAACCUUUUGUCAGUCCUAGAAACACUGAUGAAUAAGGGGUGGGCAAGUUCUGGUGUCAGCCGCCGCGGUAAAACCAGCACCUCAAGUGGUCAGGAUGAUUAUUGGGCCUAAAGCAUCCGUAGCCUGCUUUGUUAGUUUUCGGUUAAAUCCAUAUGCUCAACGUAUGGGCUGCCGGGAAUACUGCAAAGCUAGGGAGUGGGAGAGGUAGACGGUACUCGGUAGGAAGGGGUAAAAUCCUUUGAUCUAUUGAUGACCACCUGUGGCGAAGGCGGUCUACCAGAACACGUCCGACGGUGAGGGAUGAAAGCUGGGGGAGCAAACCGGAUUAGAUACCCGGGUAGUCCCAGCUGUAAACUAUGCAAACUCAGUGAUGCAUUGGCUUGAUGCCAAUGCAGUGCUGCAGGGAAGCCGUUAAGUUUGCCGCCUGGGAAGUACGUACGCAAGUAUGAAACUUAAAGGAAUUGGCGGGG
RNAcentral lists this ribosomal RNA (862 nucleotides) under uncultured archaeon. RNAcentral's name for it is "bacterial SSU rRNA". It matches the Rfam family "Archaeal small subunit ribosomal RNA", at positions 4 to 873 of the family's 1478-position model. The record is from RNAcentral.